UCCAUUGGCCGGUGCAAAUCGACAUGAAAAAUGUUUUAGAACACGUUUUUCCGCAAUGGAGGCUGUCGUAAUAGCUCUAGAGGUCUGGAAAAACGACAAGGAUCGAACUUCUAUGUUGGAGGCCUUCAAUUCCUUUUAAUUAAUUAUCUUUGGAUGUACAGUCGAAUGAUCGAUAUAGUUGCACUUGUUUACGUGUGGAACUUAUUUGAGCAUUAAUAUUAUGGCUGCCAUAUCCCAUUUGGGCAGACUCUAGUUUUCUAUGCAUCAAGAUUAUCCAGAGCAAUGGCCUAGCCUUCUUCCUUGGGUCAAACAAAUCUGCAAGAUGAGCAAGUAUAUGCUGCUUUUUAUUUUCCUAAGAAUUCUUUCAAUUAGAGGUGCCCAAGCAACUCUUCAAUCCCCAACAAUUUUAAUGCUUGGAUGGUAAUGUUUUUAGCUAUGCUGGAAAGACCAGUUGCUACGGAAGGGCAACUAAUCCAGAACAAUGCAAAUCUAGUGAAUGGUGAAAAGUAAAGAAGUGUAUAGUUCAUAUUAUGAAUUGAUUAUACACAUGAUUUGGAGAUCCAAAGCUCCUUAAGCUAGAGAACAAGUCUUCUGCUCAAAUGUUUCGGAAGCAUUUUGCAGGGAAAAUUUUAGAGUGCCAUCUUAACUUGUUGAAUGUUAUUUGUCAGGGUGGUUACCUUCCAGAUAUGGAUUUUCAAGUCCAAUACAUAUCAACUUUUAAAGCCACAACUUGAUAUAGCGCUUUUUGAAAUUAUCUUCCCUCUUAUUUGCUUCAAUGAUAAUGAUGAGAUCUCUGGUGUGAAAACCCUCAUGAAUAUGUCAGGAAAGGUUAUGGUGGGUUUCUACCCCUUUUUUGGCAACGCAGAUAUCAUUUUUUAACUGUCCAGAAAAUGUAACUGUUAUUGUAAAAGUUUUUGGAAAAUGUCUAUGAGCGUAGAAAAACUAUAACUAAGCAUUUUGUUAAAUUCAUUUCUUCUAUGUUAUUGGUAUGGCAAAGCUUUCGUUCCUUUCAAUGUAUGGGUUGUUGCAGAUAUUAUAAUUUAUUGAAGAUGUCCCCACUCCAUCCAUUGAUCAAAGAGCUAGUCGGAAACGUGGAAAAGAAAACCUCCAGAGAUUCCUCUCCUUUGUUAGAAAAAAAAUUGCCAGCUAUGAUGGGGCAGCUCAAUGCUACAAACUGAGUACAAAAAACGAUAGAGUGUCAUAUCCCCCAUAUUAUAAUGUAGAGAUUCCACAUAUUAGUGUUAAUAAUAUUCAUCUUAACUAAUGGUCAUUUAUAUCUGACAUUAGUUGAUUGGUUAAAGUUUAAUAUAAAUUAACUGAAUAAUUGAUAUGCUUAUUUUUGACAGGACUGUAGAAGAAUGUUUGAACGCUGGAAUUAAUUAAUACUAAUUUGAUCGAUUAUUAUUAUUAUUUACAUUAAAUAUUAAUCGAUUGAUUAGAUGAAUAUUAAUCAAUUAUUAAAAAAGCAUGGUUAUUAUUAUCAACCGAUGGUGUAUGGUAGCGAUUAAGGGGGACAGCGACCUUUCAAAGGGGUCUCUGCCACCAACAGACGUGGCUGAUGAAUAUGUGACUUUUCAUCCACGGAGGGAAGGAUAAACACCUUCCAGUAGAUAUGGGAAGGAUUACGUGAAAGAAAAGAUAAGAAACAAGAAGUAAGAAAUAAGGAAAAGCCUACGUCCUGCUACAAAUAUACUCAACCCGAUAUUCAAAUUGGUAAGAAUUCUGUGAAAUACAUAUGGUAGAUUAGAGAUGCGUUGUAUGUUAGUCUGUGGCUUGAUAAUAACUGUAUAUUUACAAUGUUGAUAUGUUGCAUAUCUAUGAUCGAUACUGAUAACUUCCUGCCCAUAUGAUUAAUUCAUGUUUAUGUAUCUGAUCUUUGACACUGCUGAGCAUUGGCCGUAGAGGGAGAACUGCUAUAAGGCACCCUCUCGGAUAGAGGGAGAACCGUUAUAAGGCACCCUCUCAGGCAGAGGGAGAACCAUUAUUAAGGCACCCUCACCAAAUGGCUUGAUUAGGGAGAACCGUUCCUAAGGCACCCUAUCCAGACAAUUAGGUUUCUUGUAGUUAUGAUCCAGGACUUUCUGAUUCCUACAUUACAGUGUUGUUUGCAUAAUUGUUUAAGUUUCAUUAUAGUAGUUCUUUAAAUUACAGUUCUUCUGAUUCAUAAAUCAUAGUUAGUUUCUUUCUAUAUCCUAUUUUCCUUUAUUUAUUUUCAUAACUGAUUUAUAAAUGAUAACCAUUCAUAUGUUGUAGUUAGAAGAUUAUCCCCUAACUUGUGUCGCAGGUUAUUUCUACCAAGAAGAUAAGGAGAUUCCCUUCCUAAAACCCUCUUGACAUUACAUACAGGCAGAAAGAUGGUGCUCUUUUAGCCAUUGGGGCCUUAUGUGAUGAGAUGAAGUGGACUGAGCCAUACAAACCUCAACUAGAACAAAUGCUAGUGGAGCAUGUAUUUCCUGUGUUUAAAAGCCAAGUUGGUCAUUUGAGAGCAAAGGUUUGUGUAUUUAUUUUACUCUCCUUAUUGGCUCUGCAAAAUUUAUAUGCAGAAAAAUCUUUGGGCUUCUCUUUAAUCUUUCUGCAUUGUGGAACUUGAGCCUUUUCACUUUUCUGUUAACUCAGUUUCGUUCUUGAAUAAUCCGAAUACAUCUUUUGGUUUGCUAAUUCCUCAGGAU
Long non-coding RNA from Cryptomeria japonica (Japanese cedar), 2669 nucleotides. RefSeq lists it as uncharacterized. NCBI's taxonomy places the organism in Eukaryota, Viridiplantae, Streptophyta, Pinopsida, Cupressales, Cupressaceae. The transcript is spliced from 7 exons. The record is from RefSeq and is a predicted model, not a curated record.